GAUGAACGCUGGCGGCAGGCUUAACACAUGCAAGUCGAGCGGAGCGAGGGUGCUUGCACCUUAGCUUAGCGGCGGACGGGUGAGUAAUGCUUAGGAAUCUGCCUAUUAGUGGGGGACAACAUUCCGAAAGGAAUGCUAAUACCGCAUACGCCCUACGGGGGAAAGCAGGGGAUCUUCGGACCUUGCGCUAAUAGAUGAGCCUAAGUCGGAUUAGCUAGUUGGUGGGGUAAAGGCCUACCAAGGCGACGAUCUGUAGCGGGUCUGAGAGGAUGAUCCGCCACACUGGGACUGAGACACGGCCCAGACUCCUACGGGAGGCAGCAGUGGGGAAUAUUGGACAAUGGGCGGAAGCCUGAUCCAGCCAUGCCGCGUGUGUGAAGAAGGCCUUUUGGUUGUAAAGCACUUCAAGCGAGGAGGAGGCUACUUAGAUUAAUACUCUGGGAUAGUGGACGUUACUCGCAGAAUAAGCACCGGCUAACUCUGUGCCAGCCGCCGCGGUAA
Molecule: ribosomal RNA, 501 nt
Filed under: uncultured bacterium
Lineage: Bacteria
Description: partial 16S ribosomal RNA
Rfam family: Bacterial small subunit ribosomal RNA
Source: RNAcentral